This 250-nucleotide ribosomal RNA is filed under the name uncultured bacterium. RNAcentral describes it as "partial 16S ribosomal RNA". It matches the Rfam family "Bacterial small subunit ribosomal RNA", at positions 524 to 773 of the family's 1533-position model. The record is from RNAcentral.
UACAGAGGCGGCAAGCGUUGUUCGGAAUUAUUGGGCGUAAAGAGCACGUAGGCGGCUGUGUAAGUCGGUUGUGAAAGCCUUCCGCUCAACGGAAGAACGGCAUCCGAUACUGCAUGGCUUGAGUGUGGGAGGGGAGAGUGGAACUUCUGGUGGAGCGGUGAAAUGCGUAGAGAUGCGGAGGAACACCGAUGGCGAAGGCAGCCUCCUGGGAUGACACUGACGCUCAUGCACGAAAGCGUGGGGAGCAAAC